UGGGGAAUCUUGGACAAUGGGGGCAACCCUGAUCCAGCCAUGCCGCGUGAGUGAUGAAGGCCUUAGGGUCGUAAAGCUCUUUCGCCUGUGAAGAUAAUGACGGUAGCCGGAGAAGAAGCCCCGGCUAACUCCGUGCCAGCAGCCGCGGUAAUACGGAGGGGGCUAGCGUUGUUCGGAAUUACUGGGCGUAAAGCGCGCGUAGGCGGGCUGUUAAGUCGGGGGUGAAAUCCCGGGGCUCAACCCCGGAACUGCCCUCGAUACUGGCAGCCUAGAGGUCGAGAGAGGUGAGUGGAAUUCCGAGUGUAGAGGUGAAAUUCGUAGAUAUUCGGAGGAACACCAGUGGCGAAGGCGGCUCACUGGCUCGAUACUGACGCUGAGGUGCGAAAGUGUGGGGAGCAAACAGGAUUAGAUACCCUGGUAGUCCACACCGUAAACGAUGAAUGCCAGUCGUCGGGUAGCAUGCUAUUCGGUGACACACCUAACGGAUUAAGCAUUCCGCCUGGGGAGUACGGUCGCAGAUU
Molecule: ribosomal RNA, 521 nt
Filed under: uncultured bacterium
Lineage: Bacteria
Description: bacterial SSU rRNA
Rfam family: Bacterial small subunit ribosomal RNA
Source: RNAcentral